AGAUUUCACGUGCAAGACACACACCAUGCGGUCGGCCAUUGUACAAUAUCUUCUUCUUUUCUGGAAGUUUGUGAUACCAUAAUGCCUCGAGACUGGAUCAUCGGAUUCUGAUGGAUUUGAUUUGCCUGAUCCAUUUGUGGAAUACAGUCUUGUAGCUACGUCGACCUCGCCAAAUGUCUUCACUAUGGGCAACGUAACUACACCAGCAUCACAAGUACCGGUAACACCAACCACAACAAUGCCUGUCGUGACACCACCAGUAAGGCCCAUCACAACAAUUUAACUCCUAUCUCUACAAUGUCGGCCAUAACAGCCCCAACAACACCAGUACUUGUACAGACACCAGCACCAACCCUAUGGGCCAAUGCUGGGACACCAACAGUCUCAAUGAGACUUCCAACAGAUGGGGAUUGUUGAAUCUAAACUGAUAGACAACGGAGUGCCUUCUUGGUGCCAUGUGGACAUACGUUUUGCAUGGUAUGUGCAUUGCACCUGGAAUCUACCAGCAGAUUGUGUGCAAUCUGCAGAACAGUCAUAACUAAAGUCAACCUUUAUACAAUUAACUGUUCUUUGGAAAAAUUAACCGUAUGCCAUCUUUGAUUGCAUAUAUCUAAAUGAUGCUAAUAGCUACUAGUGACGAGUACAUGCCAGUACUGCACUUAUACAAGCUAGGUUGAACGUUUCUUUUUCAGUGAAAUAACUAUUUCUCCUGAUGUUUGAGAGCACUGCCGAUAGCAUCAAUAUGUUUACAUUAUCUCAAUCUGUAUGAAUUGUAAUAGGUAAUAAUGGCCCCGAAAUGACAACAGAUGGCCCCGAUUGACUUCUGCAAUGUAUAAGGCGAUUUAACUUCCUGAACAAUGUCUGUAGUUCGUAAAAUACAAUUUGAACUGUGCACGUUCGAUUUGUAU
Molecule: long non-coding RNA, 908 nt
Organism: Mizuhopecten yessoensis (Yesso scallop)
Lineage: Eukaryota; Metazoa; Mollusca; Bivalvia; Pectinida; Pectinidae
Exons: 3
Source: RefSeq, a predicted model, not a curated record